RNAcentral lists this transfer RNA (64 nucleotides) under Cilnia humeralis. RNAcentral's name for it is "tRNA-Phe". The record is from RNAcentral. Lineage: Eukaryota; Metazoa; Arthropoda; Insecta; Mantodea; Mantidae.
AUUCAAAUAGUCUUAUAUAGAGAAUAACAUUGAAGCUGUUAAGGAGAUAUUUAUAUCUUUGAAU